Molecule: ribosomal RNA, 390 nt
Filed under: Syndiniales sp.
Lineage: Eukaryota; Dinophyceae; Syndiniales
Description: partial small subunit ribosomal RNA
Rfam family: Eukaryotic small subunit ribosomal RNA
Source: RNAcentral
AUUCCAGCUCCAAUAGCGUAUAUUAAAGUUGUUGCGGUUAAAAAGCUCGUAGUUGGAUUUCUGUCGGUGAAUAUCAGUCCGCCCACAGCGGUAGGUAGGUGAUAUUUCACCGGCAUCUUCCUGGGGAAUGUGUCUACUCUUUAUUGAGUGGUACAUAAGCCAGGACUUUUACUUUGAAGAAAUGAGAGUGUUUCAAGCAGGCAUGCGCCGUGAAUACGUUAGCAUGGGAUAAUAGCAUCGGACCUCGUUCCAAAGCUGUUGGUUUCUUGGACCGAGGUAAAGGUGAAUAGGGAUUGUUGGGGGCAUUCGUAUUUGACUGUCAGAGGUGAAAUUCUUGGAUUUGUUGAAGACGGACUACUGCGAAAGCAUCUGCCAAAGAUGUUCUCAUCG